This is a ribosomal RNA of Smittium culicis, 2700 nucleotides long. It matches the Rfam family "Bacterial large subunit ribosomal RNA". The record is from Rfam. NCBI's taxonomy places the organism in Eukaryota, Fungi, Kickxellomycota, Harpellomycetes, Harpellales, Legeriomycetaceae.
AAUCAAGAAAUAAAAGGGAUCAUAGAGAAUGACAAACCUAUAUAUCAGAUGGAGGUUAAAACCAAAAAAUUGUGGAUUAAAAGAUGAAACAAUAAAUUCCAAAGAUAUAAAAAUAUCAAAGGGCAAAGCCAAAAAAAACCUGCAGAACUGAAACAUCUAAUUAAGCAGAGGAAAAGAAAUCAACCGAGAUUCAAAAAGUAGUGGCGAACAAAAUUUGAACAGUCAGAGAGGCAUGUAAUGCUUCUCUUAUAUUUAUAUUUUUACCUAAAUAAAAUGGAAAGUUAAACCAAAGAAGGUGAAAGUCCAGUGGGAUAAAUUAAUAUAAAUAUAAAAAAAAGUAGAAUAAGAGAAAACUUGUUUGAAAAAAGGGGAACCAUCCUCUAAGACUAAAUAUGAUAUAUAGAGUAAUAGAGUAAAGUACUGUAAAGGAACAGAUUGAAAAGAUGAAGACGUUAUACGUCUGUAGAUAACUAGUGAAAAAGAACCUGAAUCUGUGAUUCUAUAAGUAGGAGAAAAAUAAAAGAAUAAACUCCGUACCUUUUGCAUAAUGGGUCAGCAAGUUGAUAAUAGAAGCAAGAUGAAAAAUCGUAAUGAAAAUAUCGGAUGUUUAAUCCUUAAUAAGUUUCUAUUAUCAGACCCGAAAUCUAGUGAUCUUCCCAUGAUCAAGUUAUAGGACUGAACCUUAGUUUGUUGCAAUAAACAAGGAUGAAUUGUGGGAAGGGGCGAAAGACCAAUCGAACUAGAAGAUAGCUGGUAUUCCGCGAAAACUAUAAUAGUAGAACAUUUUAAAAAAAAUUAAAAUCAAUUUUGCAAUGGAUUAUCUUUAAUUACCAAAAAAAAUGAGUAAAUUAAAAAAAAAAAAAUCUAAUCAUAAAAAGAUUUUAAGUUAAAGUAUAAAAUAGUCAGUCUUAAGGGGAUAAGCUCAUAAGACAAAAGGGAAAAAGCCCUAAACCUAAAAUAAGGUCCCUAAUGAAUGACUAAGUGAUAUAAAGAAAGUAAUGCUAAUUAUUCAACUCUUUAGUGGGCUUGGAGUCAGCCAUCUAUAAAAGAAAGCGUAAUAGCUCAAGAGGAAAAAUGUUUUUCAUUUUUGAUAAUUUGCAUCGAAAAUGUAAAGGGUCUAAAGUCAUUAACCGAAAUUAGGUGUUAAAUCGGUAGCGGAACAUUCAGUAAAUGGAAAGGAAAGGUAAAAACCGUACCUCAUAUCUGAAGAGAGAAUGCUGACAUGAGUAACAAAAAUGAAUGUUAAAAUCAUUCACGCCGAAAAAAAUAGGUUAAACUGAGAUAGGAUAAACCUCUUAGAAAAAAAACGGUCUCUAAAAUAAAUAUAAAUUGAUGAGUAGAUAAGCAAAUAUCUGUUAUUAAUAAAUUAAUUUUGGUUUUCAUCUUUAAUUUAUUUUUAACCUGGAAAAAUUUUUAUCUUACCGUUCUAAUUCCAACACUGGUUUUUUUAUUGAGUAUAUUCAGGCGUUUCAGAUAAUCAUCUUUAAGGAACUCGGCAAAUUACCUCUGUAACUUAGGGAUAAAGAGGGGUGAGGGCAUAUAAUGCCGCCACCGACACAGAAUAGAAGAGAACAACUGUUUACUAAAAACAUAGCACUUUGCCAUAGCUUACAGCCUUAGUAUAAAGUGUGAAACCUGCCCAGUGCUAGUAAGUUAAAUAAGAAUUUUAUUAUGAUUUUCUUAUAAUCUCUAGUAAACGGCGGUCCUAACUAUGAGGAUCCUAAGGUAGCAAAAUCCAUUGUCAUCUAAUUAGUGACCUGCAUGAAUGGUAUAAUGACUUCUCUUACUGUCUCAAAGAUGAACUGAGUGAAAUUACAAUAUCCGUGCAGAUGCGGAUUACCAUUAGCUAGACGGGAAGACCCUUUGAAGCUUUACUGUUAAUAAAUAUUUUUUUUAUGAUUUUUAGGUGUAGAAUAUAAGGUAGUCAUUUAUUGGCAAUAGUGAAAUCCCUUAACUAAAAUUCUAAUUAAAAGGACGCAUGCGUACGUCCCGUUGUUUAUGAGACAGUUUUCUUGGGAUGAGAUCCUCAUAAAUAGUAACUGAGGAGUUCUAAGCUCUAUUUUUGCAGAUGGGUUAUCUGCCGUGAAAAAUAAUCACGAUAUUAAUAUAAUGAUAAAAUAGGGUUAACGAUAAGGAUUACAAUCCGAAUCGGGUCGUAAGACGGACAUAGUGAACCGAUAAUAUCAAUAUGGAAUGGUUAUCGAUUAUCGGAUUAAGCUACUCAAGGGAUAACAGGCUAGUUAUGCACGAGAGUACCUAUUGACUGCAUAGCUCGGCACCUCGAUGUCGACUCAUCUUAUCCUGGAGCAGUAGUAUGUUCCAAGGGUUUGGCUGUUCGCCAAAUAAAAAGGUACGUGAGUUGGGUUAAAUACGUCGUAAGACAGUAUGGAUCCUAUCUACUAAUGGAAAACAAUUAUAAUUUUGGUCUUUUUCGUAGUACGAAAGGAAUCGAUUGAGUUAAUCCCUUGUUUUUCAGUUAUAAAAACUUGAAGAUUUUUGUAUAGCUGAGAAGCAAUAUUAAUAAAUGAUAACUACUGAAAGCAUAUAAAGUAGGAAACAAGCCAAAAGAAAUUGUUAAUAUAAAGAAAGGAUAAAGAUAAUAUCCAAAAAAUAAAGGAAAAUAAACCUUUUCAUAGGCUUAUAGUGAAAGGACCGUGAGGUCGGAGCUAAAUAGUACUAAUUUUCAAGAAACUUGAUUAA